GAUGAAGAACGUAGCGAAAUGCGAUAAGUAAUGUGAAUUGCAGAAUUCAGUGAAUCAUCGAAUCUUUGAACGCACAUUGCGCCCGCCAGUACUCUGGCGGGCAUGCCUGUUCGAGCGUCAUUUCAACCAUCAAGCCCCCGGCUUGUGUUGGGGACCUGCGGCUGCCGCAGGCCCUGAAAAGCAGUGGCGGGCUCGCUGUCACACCGAGCGUAGUAGAUUUCAUCUCGCUCAGGGCGUGCUGCGGGUUCCGGCCGUUAAACCACCUUCAUAACCCAAGGUUGACCUCGGAUCAGGUAGGAAGACCCGCUGAACUUAAGCAUAUCAAUAAGCGGAGGA
RNAcentral lists this unclassified non-coding RNA (336 nucleotides) under soil metagenome. RNAcentral's name for it is "partial contains 5.8S ribosomal RNA, internal transcribed spacer 2, and large subunit ribosomal RNA". The stretch from base 1 to 120 matches the Rfam family "5.8S ribosomal RNA", at positions 35 to 154 of the family's 154-position model. The record is from RNAcentral.